RNAcentral lists this long non-coding RNA (240 nucleotides) under Olea europaea (common olive). Its description in RNAcentral is "long non-coding RNA (OEUR_LNC011572)". Lineage: Eukaryota; Viridiplantae; Streptophyta; Magnoliopsida; Lamiales; Oleaceae. The record is from RNAcentral.
CCCUUUACUAGAAUUUUUCAUCUGCUCUUCUUCUCUUAUCAGUCGUUCAUACCUAAUCACAUUCGCACUCAACUGGAAAAGGUCAGGAAAUUCCUUGUCUUGAAAUUUCUUUUUUAAAUCAAAGCUCAAACAGCUCUGAGCGAUUUUAACGAAUUCUUUUUCGGGCAGAGGUACAAAACACUUGCUUCUUGCUGUCUUGAACCUUUGUAGAAAACUUUCUGCCCAUUCGUUUGGCAUUUG